This 421-nucleotide ribosomal RNA is filed under the name uncultured bacterium. Its description in RNAcentral is "bacterial SSU rRNA". It matches the Rfam family "Bacterial small subunit ribosomal RNA", at positions 355 to 776 of the family's 1533-position model. The record is from RNAcentral.
UGGGGAAUCUUGCGCAAUGGCCUAACGGCUGACGCAGCGACGCCGCGUGUGGGAUGACGCCCUUCGGGGUGUAAACCACUGUUGCCCGGGACGAAGAGCGGACUUCAGUCCGCCUGACGGUACCGGGUGAGGAAGCACCGGCUAACUCCGUGCCAGCAGCCGCGGUAAUACGGAGGGUGCGAGCGUUGUCCGGAAUCACUGGGCGUAAAGGGCGCGUAGGCGGCUUUUUAAGGGUGCGGUGAAAGCCCGGGGCUUAACCCCGGGUCGGCCGUGCCGACUGAAAAGCUGGAGCACUGUAGAGGCAGGUGGAAUUCCGGGUGUAGCGGUGGAAUGCGUAGAGAUCCGGAAGAACACCAGUGGCGAAGGCGGCCUGCUGGGCAGUUGCUGACGCUGAGGCGCGACAGCGUGGGGAGCAAACAGG